GCAAACCAUCAAUGUUUUAUAUAAAAUCCGAAACACCAAAAUAAACACUGACUUUGAGUAGCGAUUGCUCUCCCCUCACAAAUCCUAAUGAAACCAAACUAGUGACCUUGAAAAGAGCUUGAAGUUAGCUCUUCGAUCCAAAAACCCUGAUCUGAAAAAAAAAACCCCUCUCAUUUCUUAACCUUCUUCUCCUUUAACCCUAAUUCUCUCCUCUUUCAAACCCUAGCCUCUGAAUUUCUUCAAUCUUCCAUCUUGGAUCCAGAAUUGGCUCCUUCCGUUUGUCAUGGACACAAAAUACAGACUUGAAAUCUAACAAGAAGUUCAAGAAGAAGUGACAGAACUAGAUUAAACAGAUGAGUACAAGAACAACACCAGAAAGGUGAGCUAGAACUCCAAGAGAUGUG
This 404-nucleotide long non-coding RNA is filed under the name Physcomitrium patens. RNAcentral describes it as "long non-coding RNA (PPAT_LNC007143)". The record is from RNAcentral. Lineage: Eukaryota; Viridiplantae; Streptophyta; Bryopsida; Funariales; Funariaceae.